Molecule: ribosomal RNA, 328 nt
Filed under: uncultured eukaryote
Lineage: Eukaryota
Description: partial 18S ribosomal RNA
Rfam family: Eukaryotic small subunit ribosomal RNA
Source: RNAcentral
CCCUUAGAUGUUCUGGGCCGCACGCGCGCUACACUGACUACUUCAACGAGUUGUUUCCUUGAUCGAAAGGUCUGGGUAAUCUUUGAAGGGUAGUCGUGAUGGGGAUAGAUCCUUGCAAUUUUUGAUCUUCAACGAGGAAUUCCUAGUAAACGCAAGUCAUCAGCUUGCAUUGAUUACGUCCCUGCCCUUUGUACACACCGCCCGUCGCACCUACCGAUUGAAUGGUCCGGUGAAUCUUUAGGACUGUGGCUGAGGCCUUGCCUUGUGCGGGUCUGGCCGUGGGAAUUUAGUUAAACCUUACCAUUUAGAGGAAGGUGAAGUCGUAACA